RNAcentral lists this ribosomal RNA (586 nucleotides) under uncultured bacterium. Its description in RNAcentral is "partial 16S ribosomal RNA". It matches the Rfam family "Bacterial small subunit ribosomal RNA", at positions 355 to 1375 of the family's 1533-position model. The record is from RNAcentral.
UGGGGAAUUUUGGACAAUGGGCGAAAGCCUGAUCCAGCAAUGCCGCGUGUGUGAAGAAGGCCUUCGGGUUGUAAAGCACUUUUGUCCGGAAAGAAAUCCUUGGCUCUAAUACAGUCGGGGGAUGACGGUACCGGAAGAAUAAGCACCGGCUAACUACGUGCCAGCAGCCGCGGUAAUACGUAGGGUGCAAGCGUUAAUUGGAAUUACUGGGCGUAAAGCGUGCGCAGGCGGUUUGCUAAGACCGAUGUGAAAUCCCCGGGCUCAACCUGGGAACUGCAUUGGUGACUGGCAGGCUAGAGUAUGGCAGAGGGGGGUAGAAUUCCACGUGUAGCAGUGAAAUGCGUAGAGAUGUGGAGGAAUACCGAUGGCGAAGGCAGCCCCCUGGGCCAAUACUGACGCUCAUGCACGAAAGCGUGGGGGAGCAAACAGGAUUAGAUACCCUGGUAGUCCACGCCCUAAACGAUGUCAACUAGUUGUUGGGGAUUCAUUUCCUUAGUAACGUAGCUAACGCGUGAAGUUGACCGCCUGGGGAGUACGGUCGCAAGAUUAAAACUCAAAUGAAUUGACGGGGUCAUAGCUGUUUCCU